Molecule: ribosomal RNA, 1457 nt
Filed under: Staphylococcus chromogenes
Lineage: Bacteria; Bacillati; Bacillota; Bacilli; Caryophanales; Staphylococcaceae
Description: bacterial SSU rRNA
Rfam family: Bacterial small subunit ribosomal RNA
Source: RNAcentral
GGGCAGGGCGCAGCUAUACAUGCAGUCGAGCGAACUGACGAGGAGCUUGCUCCUUUGACGUUAGCGGCGGACGGGUGAGUAACACGUGGGUAACCUACCUAUAAGACUGGAAUAACUCCGGGAAACCGGGGCUAAUGCCGGAUAACAUAUCGAACCGCAUGGUUCGAUAGUGAAAGACGGUCUUGCUGUCACUUAUAGAUGGACCCGCGCCGUAUUAGCUAGUUGGUGAGGUAACGGCUCACCAAGGCGACGAUACGUAGCCGACCUGAGAGGGUGAUCGGCCACACGGGAACUGAGACACGGUCCAGACUCCUACGGGAGGCAGCAGUAGGGAAUCUUUCCGCAAUGGGCGAAAGCCUGACGGAGCAACGCCGCGUGAGUGAUGAAGGUCUUCGGAUCGUAAAGCUCUGUUGUUAGGGAAGAACAAAUGUGUAAGUAACUGUGCACAUCUUGACGGUACCUAACCAGAAAGCCACGGCUAACUACGUGCCAGCAGCCGCGGUAAUACGUAGGUGGCAAGCGUUAUCCGGAAUUAUUGGGCGUAAAGCGCGCGUAGGCGGUUUUUUAAGUCUGAUGUGAAAGCCCACGGCUCAACCGUGGAGGGUCAUUGGAAACUGGAAAACUUGAGUGCAGAAGAGGAAAGUGGAAUUCCAUGUGUAGCGGUGAAAUGCGCAGAGAUAUGGAGGAACACCAGUGGCGAAGGCGGCUUUCUGGUCUGUAACUGACGCUGAUGUGCGAAAGCGUGGGGAUCAAACAGGAUUAGAUACCCUGGUAGUCCACGCCGUAAACGAUGAGUGCUAAGUGUUAGGGGGUUUCCGCCCCUUAGUGCUGCAGCUAACGCAUUAAGCACUCCGCCUGGGGAGUACGGUCGCAAGACUGAAACUCAAAGGAAUUGACGGGGACCCGCACAAGCGGUGGAGCAUGUGGUUUAAUUCGAAGCAACGCGAAGAACCUUACCAAAUCUUGACAUCUUUUGACCGCUCUAGAGAUAGAGUUUUCCUCUUCGGAGGACAAAAUGACAGGUGGUGCAUGGUUGUCGUCAGCUCGUGUCGUGAGAUGUUGGGUUAAGUCCCGCAACGAGCGCAACCCUUGAGCUUAGUUGCCAUCAUUAAGUUGGGCACUCUAAGUUGACUGCCGGUGACAAACCGGAGGAAGGUGGGGAUGACGUCAAAUCAUCAUGCCCCUUAUGAUUUGGGCUACACACGUGCUACAAUGGACAAUACAAAGGGCAGCAAAACCGCGAGGUCAAGCAAAUCCCAUAAAGUUGUUCUCAGUUCGGAUUGUAGUCUGCAACUCGACUACAUGAAGCUGGAAUCGCUAGUAAUCGUAGAUCAGCAUGCUACGGUGAAUACGUUCCCGGGUCUUGUACACACCGCCCGUCACACCACGAGAGUUUGUAACACCCGAAGCCGGUGGAGUAACCAUUGGAGCUAGCCGUCGAAGGUGGACAACUGGUG